CCUUUGCACUACUCUCUACAAAGUGUGUGCUAGAGUUUUGGUCAGGCUACUGAAGCCGAUCAUCUCUCAUCUAAUCAGUCUUAAGCAGAGAGCCUUUGUUAGUGGCUAGUGCAUCUUUGACAAUGUCCUAUUGGCCCGCAAGUUUAUGUAUGAUCUAUAGAGAGCUCCUAGCUGAUGAAGUCUUAUGGCACUCAAAUUGGACAUGGGGUGGGCAUAUAAUCGAAUGAGCUGGUGAUUCUUGUGGUAGAC
RNAcentral lists this long non-coding RNA (249 nucleotides) under Elaeis guineensis (African oil palm). RNAcentral's name for it is "long non-coding RNA (EGUI_LNC067683)". The record is from RNAcentral. Lineage: Eukaryota; Viridiplantae; Streptophyta; Magnoliopsida; Arecales; Arecaceae.